This 627-nucleotide ribosomal RNA is filed under the name uncultured beta proteobacterium. RNAcentral's name for it is "bacterial SSU rRNA". It matches the Rfam family "Bacterial small subunit ribosomal RNA", at positions 84 to 707 of the family's 1533-position model. Lineage: Bacteria; Pseudomonadati; Pseudomonadota; Betaproteobacteria. The record is from RNAcentral.
CCUGGUGGCGAGUGGCGAACGGGUGAGUAAAGUAUCGGAACGUGCCCAGUCGUGGGGGAUAACGUAGCGAAAGCUACGCUAAUACCGCAUACGAUCUAUGGAUGAAAGCGGGGGACCGUAAGGCCUCGCGCGAUUGGAGCGGCCGAUAUCAGAUUAGGUAGUUGGUGGGGUAAAGGCCCACCAAGCCGACGAUCCGUAGCUGGUCUGAGAGGACGACCAGCCACACUGGAACUGAGACACGGUCCAGACUCCUACGGGAGGCAGCAGUGGGGAAUUUUGGACAAUGGGCGCAAGCCUGAUCCAGCCAUACCGCGUGAGUGAAGAAGGCCUUCGGGUUGUAAAGCUCUUUCAGCCGGAAAGAAAUCGUGCAGGUUAAUAACCUGUAUGGAUGACGGUACCGGAAGAAGAAGCACCGGCUAACUACGUGCCAGCAGCCGCGGUAAUACGUAGGGUGCGAGCGUUAAUCGGAAUUACUGGGCGUAAAGCGUGCGCAGGCGGUUUUGUAAGACAGACGUGAAAUCCCCGGGCUUAACCUGGGAACUGCGUUUGUGACUGCAAGGCUAGAGUGCGGCAGAGGGGGGUAGAAUUCCACGUGUAGCAGUGAAAUGCGUAGAUAUGUGGAGGAAU